This 253-nucleotide unclassified non-coding RNA is filed under the name uncultured Desulfobulbaceae bacterium. Its description in RNAcentral is "contains 16S-23S intergenic spacer region". It matches the Rfam family "Bacterial small subunit ribosomal RNA", at positions 524 to 776 of the family's 1533-position model. Lineage: Bacteria; Pseudomonadati; Thermodesulfobacteriota; Desulfobulbia; Desulfobulbales; Desulfobulbaceae. The record is from RNAcentral.
UACGGAGGGUGCGAGCGUUGUUCGGAAUUACUGGGCGUAAAGGGCGCGUAGGCAGCCAGAUUAGUCAGAUGUGAAAGCCCACGGCUCAACCGUGGAAGUGCAUUUGAAACUGUCUGGCUUGAGUAUCGGAGGGGAGUGUGGAACUCCCGGUGUAGAGGUGAAAUUCGUAGAGAUCGGGAGGAACACCGGUGGCGAAGGCGACACUCUGGACGAAUACUGACGCUGAGGCGCGAAAGCGUGGGGAGCAAACAGG